This 281-nucleotide unclassified non-coding RNA is filed under the name uncultured fungus. Its description in RNAcentral is "partial contains 5.8S ribosomal RNA, internal transcribed spacer 2, and large subunit ribosomal RNA". The stretch from base 1 to 52 matches the Rfam family "5.8S ribosomal RNA", at positions 103 to 154 of the family's 154-position model. Lineage: Eukaryota; Fungi. The record is from RNAcentral.
AACGCACAUUGCGCCUUAUGGUAUUCCAUAAGGCAUGCCUGUUUGAGCGUCAUUUCUCUCUCAAACCUUUGGGUUUGGUAUUGAGUGAUACUCUUAGUCGGACUAGGCGUUUGCUUGAAAAGUAUUGGCAAGAGUGUACUGGAUAGUACUAACUGGUUAUUCAAUGUAUUAGGUUUAUCCAACUCGUUGAAGUGCUGGUGGUAAAUUUCUAGUAACGGCUCGGCCUUACAACAACAAACAAGUUUGACCUCAAAUCAGGUAAGAAUACCCGCUGAACUUAA